GACGAACGCUGGCGGUGUGCUUAACACAUGCAAGUCGAACGGUAAGGCCCUUUCGGGGGUACACGAGUGGCGAACGGGUGCGUAACACGUGAGUAACCUGCCCUCAUCUCUGGGAUAACAGUCGUAAACGGUUGCUAAUACUGGAUAUGAGCUUGCAAGGCAUCUUGUGGGUUGGAAAGAUUUUUUUUGGUUGGGGAUGGACUCGCGGCCUAUCAGCUUGUGGGUGAGGUAGUGGCUCACCAAGGCUUCGACGGGUAGCCGGCCUGAGAGGGCGACCGGCCACAUUGGGACUGAGAUACGGCCCAAACUCCUAAGGGAGGCAGCAGGGGGGAAUAUUGCACAAUGGACGGAAGUCUGAUGCAGCAACGCCGCGUGCGGGAUGACGGCAUUCGGGUUGUAAACCGCUUUCAAUUGUGACGAAGCUUUUUUGUGACGGUAGCAGUAGAAGAAGCACCGGCUAACUACGUG
This 468-nucleotide ribosomal RNA is filed under the name uncultured bacterium. Its description in RNAcentral is "partial 16S ribosomal RNA". It matches the Rfam family "Bacterial small subunit ribosomal RNA", at positions 28 to 507 of the family's 1533-position model. The record is from RNAcentral.